GCCCAGAGCGUUGGGGAAACCCUUCCCGGCUGCCAGCAGUCCGACAGUUCCGCCCGCCUCCAGGUUUUCACCUGGGGGUCUUCCAACCUCCCAUACAACCAGAGUAUCUUUCCCAAGAGGGAUUCCUUACUCUUGCUGAGUUCUCUGAGUCUUGCAGUUUGGAACGCAAUUCCCGUGUCUGUCUUGUUCUCUGCAGCCUAUGACAAGCUUAAUAAUAGCAAGUCAUAUUAUUAGUUAUGUUAUUAACAAACGACUGAACGAUGUCAUGUCCUUUCUCUGAUUUUUUCAGGGCCUGCCGUUUACAUUGUCCUUUGCUAGGCGUUGUGGGACAUUCAAGCAGGGUAGCACACACUUUCUGCCUUCCAGGAACUUAAAGAUAAUGUUAGAAGACAAGUACCACAAAGCAGAGUCCACAAACUAUUCUACUCCACUGUUUUGGAGGUGCUUCCAGGAAUGACAUAAACUGAACACAUCCUGCCAUCUGAGACUUUUUCUCCCUGAAAAGAUAACGAAACGUGUAAUACUGUAGCUUCAAAAGAAAAGAAAUGUCAAGUCAUUUUUAGAUUUAGAAGGUGGAGCUGGUGGAGUCCAAAGCAGCAAUUGCAAGCAAGACAUUUCUUGGAAGUCUCAUAUUUUAUCUUGGAAAUUCAUGUGAUUUUUGUGUUCUACUUAAUAAUGCCUCCAUGUUUAUUUUUAAUAUAAAAAUGAUCUUUUAAAUUACUUAUCAUUGAGUAAAAGGGAAGGACCUGGUGUGUUAUCAUUCAUCUUCCCUUCCUCCAGGCACAUCAUCUCACCCUGCUCUGGAGACGCUGACCCUGGGGUGAGAAAUGGGGCCAAGUGGGAUUUGCGUGGGCACAGACUGGAAUGAAAGCAAUGCUCAUAAGCAGCCUAAUGUGGGAGGCCUGGAGAGAUCAGGUGGUAGUUGUUGGAGGAGAGGGCUCAGGAGCUUGAAAUGAGGGCUCACUGGAGGUGGUGAGA
This is a long non-coding RNA of Equus caballus (horse), 978 nucleotides long. RefSeq lists it as uncharacterized. NCBI's taxonomy places the organism in Eukaryota, Metazoa, Chordata, Mammalia, Perissodactyla, Equidae. The record is from RefSeq and is a predicted model, not a curated record.